CCUACGGGAGGCUGCAGUGAGGAAUAUUGGUCAAUGGGCGGGAGCCUGAACCAGCCAAGUCGCGUGAGGGAAGACGGUCCUAUGGAUUGUAAACCUCUUUAGGCGGGGAGCAAUGCCGGGCACGUGUACCCGGAGGGAGAGUACCCGCAGAAUAAGCAUCGGCUAACUCCGUGCCAGCAGCCGCGGUAAUACGGAGGAUGCGAGCGUUAUCCGGAUUUUUGGGGUUUAAAGGUUGCGUAGGCGGAUUGUUAAGUCAGCGGUAAAAUGUCCGGGCUCAACCCGGGCCGGCCGUUGAAACUGGGGAUCUUGAGUGGGCGAGAAGUAUGCGGAAUGCGUGGUGUAGCGGUGAAAUGCAUAGAUAUCACGCAGAACUCCGAUUGCGAAGGCAGCAUACCGGCGCCCGACUGACGCUGAGGCACGAAAGCGUGGGGAUCGAACAGGAUUAGAUACCCGAGUAGUC
Molecule: ribosomal RNA, 460 nt
Filed under: uncultured bacterium
Lineage: Bacteria
Description: partial 16S ribosomal RNA
Rfam family: Bacterial small subunit ribosomal RNA
Source: RNAcentral